RNAcentral lists this ribosomal RNA (468 nucleotides) under uncultured bacterium. Its description in RNAcentral is "partial 16S ribosomal RNA". It matches the Rfam family "Bacterial small subunit ribosomal RNA", at positions 28 to 507 of the family's 1533-position model. The record is from RNAcentral.
GACGAACGCUGGCGGCGUGCUUAACACAUGCAAGUCGAACGGAAAGGCCCUGCUUUUGUGGGGUGCUCGAGUGGCGAACGGGUGAGUAACACGUGAGUAACCUGCCCUUGACUUUGGGAUAACUUCAGGAAACUGGGGCUAAUACCGGAUAGGAGCUCCUGCUGCAUGGUGGGGGUUGGAAAGUUUCGGCGGUUGGGGAUGGACUCGCGGCUUAUCAGCUUGUUGGUGGGGUAGUGGCUUACCAAGGCUUUGACGGGUAGCCGGCCUGAGAGAGUGACCGGCCCCAUUGGGACUGAGAUACGGCCCAUACUCCUACGGGAGGCAGCAGUGGGGAAUAGUGCACAAUGGGCGGAAGCCUGAUGCAGAAACGCCGCGUGCGGGAUGACGGCCUUCGGGUUGUAAACCGCCUUCGCCUGUGACGAAGCGUGAGUGACGGUAAUGGGUAGAGAAGCACCGGCUAACUACGUG